This 486-nucleotide ribosomal RNA is filed under the name uncultured bacterium. Its description in RNAcentral is "partial 16S ribosomal RNA". It matches the Rfam family "Bacterial small subunit ribosomal RNA", at positions 30 to 507 of the family's 1533-position model. The record is from RNAcentral.
AUUGAACGCUGGCGGCAUGCCUUACACAUGCAAGUCGAACGGCAGCACGGGUGCUUGCACCUGGUGGCGAGUGGCGAACGGGUGAGUAAUACAUCGGAACAUGUCCUGUAGUGGGGGAUAGCCCGGCGAAAGCCGGAUUAAUACCGCAUACGAUCUACGGAUGAAAGCGGGGGACCUGCGGGCCUCGCGCUAUAGGGUUGGCCGAUGGCUGAUUAGCUAGUUGGUGGGGUAAAGGCCUACCAAGGCGACGAUCAGUAGCUGGUCUGAGAGGACGACCAGCCACACUGGGACUGAGACGCGGCCCAGACUCCUACGGGAGGCCGCAGUGGGGAAUUUUGGACAAUGGGCGAAAGCCUGAUCCAGCAAUGCCGCGUGUGUGAAGAAGGCCUUCGGGUUGUAAAGCACUUUUGUCCGGAAAGAAAUCCUUGGCCCUAAUACGGUCGGGGGAUGACGGUACCGGAAGAAUAAGCACCGGCUAACUACGUG